Molecule: long non-coding RNA, 1137 nt
Filed under: Oryctolagus cuniculus (rabbit)
Lineage: Eukaryota; Metazoa; Chordata; Mammalia; Lagomorpha; Leporidae
Description: lncRNA (ENSOCUG00000038877.1)
Source: RNAcentral
GGCUACUGCACUCAGAUCCAGUAUCUGAAAAGCACAAGAGCAUCUACUGCCAGGAUGGUGUUCACAGACUGAGCCUCUAGAAUUUCCCAGCAUCAGGCAGCUGCUUGCACUCCAGCCAGUGCCUGUGGACAGAGUAUCUGGACUUGCUCUGAUAUCGGGGGAGAAACUGCACCUGGUGAAGUGAACUUUUUUGGUGUGUAACACCUCCAGCUUCAUGCAGACCAGGGAUUGAAGAUACAAGCAAGGUCAUGGAUGGCCAGAGGAACCAGGGAGAAUAACAGGGAAACAAGGCCAGGAAUACUCUCUUCACAGUGUCAAUUAUCCAUCAUGCUAAUCCGCUACCUGCCUGGUGUUUCCCUGCUCUACGUGGAAGUAUCUUUGAUCUGAAAUGCCCAUGCCUUUCUCCAAGUGCUUUCUUCCUCCUCCACACUGAACGUUAGCCACUCUCCAUCGCUUUUCUGUGUUGACCUAAUGUGUCUACAAUCUUCUUACCUUCUUCAUUUGCUGGCCCUCAAAUAAUCAAGAGACAUUGUAAAAGCUUCAAAUAAUCUUGAGAAGGACAGAUGCUUUAAUCCUUAUCCUAGUAUUGCAUGUGCCGAGAGGAAACAGGAAAAUGCUUAAAAUGGUUCCAGCUAAUUUCAAAGAGAAAGGCAUAAACUGCUGCCUGAAGCAGAAGCCUGGAGAAGACUGCCUAUGUCAUCACAAGCAGCUGUUCUCAUCCAAAACAGUAGAAUGAGGAAGAGCUCGGAUUCCAGCUGGGGAACGGAAGUGGAAAGAUUAAAUACACAAUUUUGAUUAAAAUCUCUCUUCUGUAACUUUCCCACAUAUUUCUCUGUAAACAUUUUCCUUUUUUAGUCUCCAGUAAGAGUCAGUGUGGUUCAGUGAGGCAACACAUGCAUAGAUACACAAAUAAUAACUAGCACAUGGGGUUUAGCCUCAUGCAAGUUUUUUUAUGACUUUGGGGAAGUAUCUUCUUGCUAUUACAUUGUGUUCAUCUGAAAACUAUCAUAAAGCAAAUUCUGGGUAGAUUUUGGAAUUUCUUUAUGAAGGAGAAAUCAUGUUUUCUGUUAACCUGAUCAUACACAAUGUGUUACUUAACUUAAUAAAGAAUAUUACUAUAAUUAUUUUAUCUUUAAA